AACGCACCUUGCACCCUUUGGCAUUCCGAAGGGUAUGCUCGUUUGAGUGUCAUUGUACUCUCACACUCCCACUCUUUUGGAUUGGGAGCGGUGGACUUGGGUGUUGCUGCUUUACGGUGGCUCACCUCAAAUGGAGUAGUGCAACUCUCGGUUGGACAUAGUACGGCGUGAUAAGUAUCUUCGCCGGCGCCUCACUCGAGGGUGGCCGAUCGGGAGCUCUGUGCUUCAAACCGUCUUCGGACAAUCUCUGACAACUUGACCUCAAAUCGAGUAGGACUACCCGCUGAACUUAA
Molecule: unclassified non-coding RNA, 293 nt
Filed under: uncultured Sebacina
Lineage: Eukaryota; Fungi; Basidiomycota; Agaricomycetes; Sebacinales; Sebacinaceae
Description: sequence contains ITS2
Source: RNAcentral